GGGACUUGGGGCACAGUGGUUCAACGGAAUGGGUUACGGUGACAUGUGAAAUUAUUACUGCUCAACAUCAAUUAAUCCUUAUAAUAUGGAAUAAGAUAAAUGAACUACCUUGUGAAAGAUAUAAACAGAUGCAAGACUUUGGGAAAGGGACGGAGCGAAAAGAGAGUGAUACGGAGGUUUGUUGGUGUUAUUUGUUAUGUUCGCGAUUUUCGCAUUCGUAUUUAUCGGCUACUUCGUGGGAAGAAGAAGCAAUUGAAACGGACGUUGCGUUUCAAAAAGAGCGUUACAAUAUGAAGAAUUCAAUCGACGAGAUCGGUGAAAAACGCAUUGAUAAAACCAAGGCCCAAAAUACAAGGCUGCACACACAGUUGCGGUGAAAAUAUUAGUAUUUAAGAUCCCAGUAUCCCUGAAUGGGCAAAUUCCAAAUUUAAUGAGUUAUAUCUAUCUUACAGUUUUAUUAAAUAAAUGAUUUUAAAAAUACA
This is a long non-coding RNA of Drosophila sechellia, 482 nucleotides long. RefSeq lists it as uncharacterized. The record is from RefSeq and is a predicted model, not a curated record. The transcript has 2 exons. Lineage: Eukaryota; Metazoa; Arthropoda; Insecta; Diptera; Drosophilidae.